GAUGAAGAACGCAGCGAAAUGCGAUAAGUAAUGUGAAUUGCAGAAUUCAGUGAAUCAUCGAAUCUUUGAACGCACAUUGCGCCCGUCAGUAUUCUGGCGGGCAUGCCUGUUCGAGCGUCAUUACGCCCCUCAAGUCCCCUGUGGACUUGGUGUUGGGGAUCGGCGAGGCUGGUUUUCCAGCACAGCCGUCCCUUAAAUUAAUUGGCGGUCUCGCCGUGGCCCUCCUCUGCGCAGUAGUAAAACACUCGCAACAGGAGCCCGGCGCGGUCCACUGCCGUAAACCCCCCAACUUUUUAUAGUUGACCUCGAAUCAGGUAGGACUACCCGCUGAACUUAAGCAUAUCAAUAAGCGGAGGA
This 357-nucleotide unclassified non-coding RNA is filed under the name soil metagenome. RNAcentral's name for it is "partial contains 5.8S ribosomal RNA, internal transcribed spacer 2, and large subunit ribosomal RNA". The stretch from base 1 to 120 matches the Rfam family "5.8S ribosomal RNA", at positions 35 to 154 of the family's 154-position model. The record is from RNAcentral.